AAAUUGAAGAGUUUGAUCAUGGCUCAGAUUGAACGCUGGCGGCAGGCCUAACACAUGCAAGUCGAGCGGAAACGAGUUAUCUGAACCUUCGGGGAACGAUAACGGCGUCGAGCGGCGGACGGGUGAGUAAUGCCUAGGAAAUUGCCCUGAUGUGGGGGAUAACCAUUGGAAACGAUGGCUAAUACCGCAUAAUGCCUACGGGCCAAAGAGGGGGACCUUCGGGCCUCUCGCGUCAGGAUAUGCCUAGGUGGGAUUAGCUAGUUGGUGAGGUAAGGGCUCACCAAGGCGACGAUCCCUAGCUGGUCUGAGAGGAUGAUCAGCCACACUGGAACUGAGACACGGUCCAGACUCCUACGGGAGGCAGCAGUGGGGAAUAUUGCACAAUGGGCGCAAGCCUGAUGCAGCCAUGCCGCGUGUAUGAAGAAGGCCUUCGGGUUGUAAAGUACUUUCAGUCGUGAGGAAGGUAGUGUAGUUAAUAGCUGCAUUAUUUGACGUUAGCGACAGAAGAAGCACCGGCUAACUCCGUGCCAGCAGCCGCGGUAAUACGGAGGGUGCGAGCGUU
This 562-nucleotide ribosomal RNA is filed under the name Vibrio parahaemolyticus 3355. RNAcentral describes it as "bacterial SSU rRNA". It matches the Rfam family "Bacterial small subunit ribosomal RNA", at positions 1 to 542 of the family's 1533-position model. Lineage: Bacteria; Pseudomonadati; Pseudomonadota; Gammaproteobacteria; Vibrionales; Vibrionaceae. The record is from RNAcentral.